RNAcentral lists this non-coding RNA (89 nucleotides) under Chlorobium limicola DSM 245. RNAcentral describes it as "SAM-Chlorobi RNA". It matches the Rfam family "SAM-Chlorobi RNA". The record is from RNAcentral. Lineage: Bacteria; Pseudomonadati; Chlorobiota; Chlorobiia; Chlorobiales; Chlorobiaceae.
CGGCAUCCCCAUUACCUAUGGACACGGUGCCGCAGGCUCUUCCGGAAAAUUCUUUUCCGGAUCCUGCAGGAAAAAUUUUCCGUGUCCAG